UACAGCACUCUCAUCAAAGUCCGCCUGCCAGAUCUGUUUUGCCUCUUAGCAGCCACGAUUGAAAACCUGGUACGUCUCCUGCUGUGACUGUACGAUCUUACAGCAUUACUGAUUCUGCGUGAACAAUGCCAUGAAAGGAAGCAGAAAUAUACUCUGAGGUAUCACACAGUCGAAGCCAUACAUCUGCAGAUCCAACAGCAGCCACGCUAUGUAUGCUGGUGAACAGAAGUGCUCUUGAUGAGGCACUCGCCUGCAGUUCUGUAAGAUGUGGCAGUUUUUAUGGUAGCAGCCGCUACUGUACCUGCUACUGAAAAGGAAUAUAGUGCAGAGGAGUGACACCAGUCCGAUAAACGAGGAAGACCAUCUCUGGGUUGCUGUGGCAGUGGAGCCAGUAGUAUGUGGAUUUUGUCAUCCAGCAGUUCUGCCAAAACUGGA
Long non-coding RNA from Schistocerca americana (American grasshopper), 435 nucleotides. RefSeq lists it as uncharacterized. Lineage: Eukaryota; Metazoa; Arthropoda; Insecta; Orthoptera; Acrididae. The transcript is spliced from 3 exons. The record is from RefSeq and is a predicted model, not a curated record.